CCUACGGGUGGCAGCAGUAGGGAAUUUUCGUCAAUGGGCGCAAGCCUGAACGAGCGAUGCCGCGUGAGUGAAGAAGGCCUUCGGGUCGUAAAGCUCUGUUUCGGGGGAAAAAAGGCAGCAUCAGGAAAUGGGUGCUGACUGAUGGUGCCCCGCCAGAAAGUCACGGCUCACUCCGUGCCAGCAGCCGCGGUAAUACGUAGGUGGCGAGCGUUAUCCGGAAUGAUUGGGCGUGAAGGGUGCGCAGGCGGUCCUGCAAGUCUGGAGUGAAACGUAUGAGCUCAACUCAUGCAUGGCUUUGGAAACUGGAGGACUUGAGAGCAGGAGAGGGAGGUGGAAUGCGAGGUGUAGCGGUAAAAUGCGUAGAUAUAUGGAAGAACCCCAGUGGCGAAGGCGGCCGCCUGGCCUGUUGCUGACGCUGAGGCACGAAAGUGUGGGGAGCAAAUAGGAUUAGAUACCCCUGUAGUC
This 465-nucleotide ribosomal RNA is filed under the name uncultured bacterium. RNAcentral describes it as "partial 16S ribosomal RNA". It matches the Rfam family "Bacterial small subunit ribosomal RNA", at positions 338 to 795 of the family's 1533-position model. The record is from RNAcentral.